RNAcentral lists this ribosomal RNA (468 nucleotides) under uncultured bacterium. RNAcentral describes it as "partial 16S ribosomal RNA". It matches the Rfam family "Bacterial small subunit ribosomal RNA", at positions 28 to 507 of the family's 1533-position model. The record is from RNAcentral.
GACGAACGCUGGCGGCGUGCUUAACACAUGCAAGUCGAACGGAAAGGCCCUGCUUUUGUGGGGUGCUCGAGUGGCGAACGGGUGAGUAACACGUGAGUAACCUGCCCUUGACUUUGGGAUAACUUCAGGAAACUGGGGCUAAUACCGGAUAGGAGCUCCUGCUGCAUGGUGGGGGUUGGAAAGUUUCGGCGGUUGGGGAUGGACUCGCGGCUUAUCAGCUUGUUGGUUGGGUAGUGGCUUACCAAGGCUUUGACGGGUAGCCGGCCUGAGAGGGUGACCGGCCAAAUUGGGACGGAGAUACGGCCCAGACUCCUACGGGAGGCAGCAGUGGGGAAUAUUGCACAAUGGGCGGAAGCCUGAUGCAGCAACGCCGCGUGCGGGAUGACGGCCUUCGGGUUGUAAACCGCUUUCGCCUGUGACGAAGCGUGAGUGACGGUAAUGGGUAAAGAAGCACCGGCUAACUACGUG